RNAcentral lists this ribosomal RNA (205 nucleotides) under uncultured bacterium. RNAcentral's name for it is "partial 16S ribosomal RNA". It matches the Rfam family "Bacterial small subunit ribosomal RNA", at positions 524 to 728 of the family's 1533-position model. The record is from RNAcentral.
UACGUAGGGGCCUAGCGUUGUCCGGAAUUAUUGGGCGUAAAGAGCUCGUAGGCGGUUCGGCAAGUCGGAUGUGAAAUCUCCACGCUUAACGUGGAGGGGCCAUUCGAAACUGCUGUGACUCGAGUCCGGUAGGGGAGUGUGGAAUUCCCGGUGUAGCGGUGAAAUGCGCAGAUAUCAGGAGGAACACCGAUGGCGAAGGCAGACU